Molecule: long non-coding RNA, 396 nt
Organism: Sycon ciliatum
Lineage: Eukaryota; Metazoa; Porifera; Calcarea; Leucosolenida; Sycettidae
Exons: 7
Source: RefSeq, a predicted model, not a curated record
AGCUAACCAACGAGAUGCGGAUGGUCAUUGUCAUUUUCUAAGCUGCGAACGGGCAGAAAGCUAACCAACGAGAUGAGGAUGGACAUUGUCAUUUUCUAAGCUGCGAACGGGCAGAAAGCUACAUAACGAGAUGAGGAUGGUCAUUGUCAUUUUCUGAGCUGCGAACGGGCAGAAAGCUACACAACGAGAUGAGGAUGGUCAUUGUUAUUUUCUGAGCUGCGAACAGGCAGAAAGCUAACCAACGAGAUGAGGAUGGUCAUUGUCAUUUUCUGAGCUGCGAACGGGCAGAAAGCUACAUAACGAGAUGAGGAUGGUCAUUGUCAUUUUCUGAGCUGCGAACGGGCAGAAAGAUGAGGAUGGUCAUUGUUAUUUUCUGAGCUGCGAACGGGCAGAAAG